This 405-nucleotide ribosomal RNA is filed under the name uncultured bacterium. RNAcentral's name for it is "partial 16S ribosomal RNA". It matches the Rfam family "Bacterial small subunit ribosomal RNA", at positions 30 to 526 of the family's 1533-position model. The record is from RNAcentral.
AUUGAACGCUAGCGGGAUGCUUUACACAUGCAAGUCGAACGAGUGGCGGACGGGUGAGUAAUAUAGCAGCACGUGCCCAGUAGCGGGGGAUAACUACUCGAACGAGUGGCUACUACCGCCUACUAUGCGAUCGGCCGUUAUCGGAUUAGCUAGUUGGGGGGGUAAAGGCUCACCAAGGCAACGAUCCGUAGCUGGGCUGAGAGGACGACCAGCCACACUGGGACUGAGAAACGGCCCAGACUCCUACGGGAGGCAGCAGUGGGGAAUUUUGGACAAUGGGGGAAACUCUGAUCCAGCCAUCCCGCGUGUGUGAGAAGGCCUUCGGGUUGUAAAGUACUUUUGGCAGAGAAGCGGUAUCUGCAGAAUAAGCACCGGCUAACUACGUGCCAGCAGCCGCGGUAAUAC